CGCACGUACGUUGAGAGGAGCGCACGUACGUUGAGAGGAGCGCACGUACGUUGAGAGGAGCGCACCGGAGAAAGAACACACGAGCUGCGGGACAGUGAGAGGAACACACUGGUAGAAGAGCACACAGGCAGCUGGAUGUCGAGAGGAGCGGAAGAGCACAGCGACAGGCACUGGUGUCGACCAGCGGAACGACGUGGAGUUUGGCCUGGGAGGUCAGAGAAGAAUUUGGCUGCUGGGCAGCCCCACUAUAGGGGAAAACCACCUUCCCACUCCAUUCCCCUUCUGAUCUCCCCAUCCACCUCGCUGAGAGCUACCACAACUCAAUAAAAAACCUAGCACUCGAUCUCCAAGCCCACAUGUGAUCCAAUUUUUCCCGUGCACUAAAGCAAGAACCUGGGAUACAGAAAGCCGUCUGUCCUUGUGAUAAGGCAGAGGGUCUAAUUGAGCUGAUUAACACAAGCCACCUGCGGACAGCUAAGCUGAAAAAGCAUCCUGUAACACACGCCCACUGGGGCCUCAGGAGGUGUAAACAUUCACCCCGAGAGGCUGCAUGGGUCCGCGCCCAUGGUCCCCAUGACUUGCCUGUUUGCCUGCUCUGGCUAAGGGUCUUGACCAGUGGGGCACUGAAGAAGCGAGCCACACCUCCAUCGUACGCCCUGCGAGGAGGAAAUUGCCACAGUCACCUCAACCUUCAGCAACCACCAACUUGAUCAAUCAGCAGCCAAUAACGUGAAGUCAUGACCAUUCACCAGCAAAAAGUUUAUGAUUCACCAAAAUAUUAGAUGAUCAUUAACAUUUUUAGCAAUAAUGUAUUUGUCAUUAAGGUGUUAGUGCAUUGGAAAAUCAUUUAAAGAAUGUAUCAGCUAAUUGAAGGCUUAUGUGUAAACAAGAUUCCUGCCAGGCUUUGACUACUACCCUUGGCCUUCCUAUACAGGGUUGUAAAGAAUCAUCAUGAUGUAUGUUUGAAAUUAUGUUUAACAGUAUUACAGUCAAUAUAGACUAAAUUUUGAUGCAGUAACAACCUCAGAACUUUUACAAUCAUUGCUGGACUGAGAGAGAAAGAGAGAGUGAACAGGGAAUGUCACAUGAGCAGAGAAUGUCACUAUCUCAACUGUAAAAAACAAACAUUACUUCUACUCACAUUUCAUUGCCCAGAACUAGUCCUAUACCUGUGCCUAACUGGAAAUGAGCACAAACUAUCGUGUCUGUCAUGCUCAAGGAGAGGAAAUUGGUUAUUGGUCAGUGUCAAUAUUGUCCACAAAUGUGAAUUACAUUUUAUAAGGUGUUGACUCUGCCUGUCACCCACAAAAGAGCUUUGAGUACAAUUGGCAAACCGUAUAUGCUAUAUUUUUAAAACAAUAUUUCUCUUCCAUGUGUUAAAUGUAAUAAUUGUUUUAGAUUAUUUAACUUGAUAUAUUACUAAGCUUUUUUUCCCUACUCAAACAAAAAGUACUCUUACAAUCAAAGAAACAUGUUUAUUGUUGUUGUUGAUUUAAUUUUCAAACACAUUUGAAGGACUCAAAACACAACCACUCUUUCAAACCUCAAAUAUCAACUAAGUUAUAAUCAGUAUCUUUUGUAUGGUAAGGCACUAGACCCAGAAUAACAGAAGAAAAACAAUGGAAGAUAAAUUUAAAAGUUAAUGGAAGAAAACAUAAUUAUGGAGAGUUACAACUAUUACAUGUUUACUUUUAAACUGGUAAUUGAUAUCUAAAAUAAGUAAGGGUUUGAUAUGGGAAGAAUAGUAAACGGGAGAUAGGAGCACUAAUUUUAAGACACUUUUUUGACAUCAGUUAGUAAAACAAUUUUGGAAAAAAACAAUGAUCUAUGUUUCUUAAAUCUAAUUAAUUUAUAUUAUUUCAUAUAUAUUUUUUAAAAUGAGCUAUCCUUCAAAAUGC
RNAcentral lists this long non-coding RNA (1898 nucleotides) under Homo sapiens (human). RNAcentral describes it as "PREDICTED lncRNA (TCONS_00194167)". The record is from RNAcentral. Lineage: Eukaryota; Metazoa; Chordata; Mammalia; Primates; Hominidae.